ACUCUCGUGUCAGAGUUUGAUCCUGGCUCAGGGUGAACGCUGGCGGCGUGCAUAACACAUUCAAGUCGAACGGAGUUAUGUGGCUUGAUCCCUUCGGGGUGACGGCUAUAUAACUUAGUGGCGGACGGGUGAGUAACGCGUGAGCAACCUGCCCUUAUGUGGGGAACAAUAGUUGGAAACGACUGCUAAUACCGCAUAACCCAAUAGUACUGCAUGGUACAGUUGGCAAAGAUUUAUCGCAUAAGGAUGGGCUCGCGUCUGAUUAGGUAGUUGGUGAGGUAACGGCUCACCAAGCCGACGAUCAGUAGCCGGACUGAGAGGUUGAACGGCCACAUUGGAACUGAGAAACGGUCCAG
Molecule: ribosomal RNA, 356 nt
Filed under: uncultured bacterium
Lineage: Bacteria
Description: bacterial SSU rRNA
Rfam family: Bacterial small subunit ribosomal RNA
Source: RNAcentral